CUCGUCCUACGGGGGGCAGCAGUGAGGAAUAUUGGUCAAUGGGCGGGAGCCUGAACCAGCCAAGUCGCGUGAGGGACGACGGUCCUAUGGAUUGUAAACCUCUUUUGUCGGGGAACAAAGGCGCCCACGGGUGGGCGGAUGAGUGUACCCGAAGAAAAAGCAUCGGCUAACUCCGUGCCAGCAGCCGUGGUAAUACGGAGGAUGCGAGCGUUAUCCGGAUUUAUUGGGUUUAAAGGGUGCGUAGGCGGAUAGUCAAGUCAGCGGUAAGAAUGCGGUGCUGAACGCCGUACAGCCGUUGCAACUGG
This 305-nucleotide ribosomal RNA is filed under the name uncultured bacterium. Its description in RNAcentral is "bacterial SSU rRNA". It matches the Rfam family "Bacterial small subunit ribosomal RNA", at positions 333 to 636 of the family's 1533-position model. The record is from RNAcentral.